GAGACACUUUACCUGAUGACGGUAUCAUUUGUGCUUCCCCCUUCUAAUGUGUUUCAUUCGCAUAUGCAUGAAGUAAUUCACAAAUGAUUCUGUAUGCUUAUGCAUAUGGGGAUAUGGGAUGCAAUUGUUAGCUUGCAAUUCGCAGUACAUGCACAAGAGGGCGUUGCUUAUUUUGAAUUCUAAAUAUUAUUGUCCAUGUAUUGUUCUCCUUUCAUUGUAUGCCUAUUGUCCCCUUAUAACUGGUUGCUUCAAAAUUCAAAUUAUGAUUCUUUUAAUGCAGAUCUCCCUCUACCGCCAGUGCUG
Molecule: unclassified non-coding RNA, 303 nt
Filed under: Hevea brasiliensis (rubber tree)
Lineage: Eukaryota; Viridiplantae; Streptophyta; Magnoliopsida; Malpighiales; Euphorbiaceae
Source: RNAcentral